ACGGAAGGCAGCAGUGGGGAAUAUUGCACAAUGGGGGAAACCCUGAUGCAGCGAUGCCGCGUGAAGGAAGAAGUUCUUCGGAAUGUAAACUUCUAUCAGCAAGGAAGAAAACGGACAGUACUUGACUAAGAAGCCCCGGCUAACUACGUGCCAGCAGCCGCGGUAAUACGUAGGGGGCAAGCGUUAUCCGGAAUUACUGGGUGUAAAGGGUGCGUAGGCGGUAAAGCAAGUUAGAUGUGAAACCUCGGGGCUUAACCCCGAGCAUGCGUCUAAAACUACUGGACUAGUGUAUAGGAGAGGAAAGCGGAAUUCCUGGUGUAGCGGUGAAAUGCGUAGAUAUCAGGAAGAACACCGGCGGCGAAGGCGGCUUUCUGGACUAAAACUGACGCUGAGGCACGAAAGCGUGGGGAGCAAACAGGAUUAGAUACCCUGGUA
RNAcentral lists this ribosomal RNA (435 nucleotides) under uncultured Lachnospiraceae bacterium. Its description in RNAcentral is "partial 16S ribosomal RNA". It matches the Rfam family "Bacterial small subunit ribosomal RNA", at positions 341 to 792 of the family's 1533-position model. Lineage: Bacteria; Bacillati; Bacillota; Clostridia; Lachnospirales; Lachnospiraceae. The record is from RNAcentral.